Molecule: ribosomal RNA, 889 nt
Filed under: Streptococcus thermophilus
Lineage: Bacteria; Bacillati; Bacillota; Bacilli; Lactobacillales; Streptococcaceae
Description: bacterial SSU rRNA
Rfam family: Bacterial small subunit ribosomal RNA
Source: RNAcentral
CUAUUGGAAACGAUAGCUAAUACCGCAUAACAAUGGAUGACACAUGUCAUUUAUUUGAAAGGGGCAAUUGCUCCACUACAAGAUGGACCUGCGUUGUAUUAGCUAGUAGGUGAGGUAAUGGCUCACCUAGGCGACGAUACAUAGCCGACCUGAGAGGGUGAUCGGCCACACUGGGACUGAGACACGGCCCAGACUCCUACGGGAGGCAGCAGUAGGGAAUCUUCGGCAAUGGGGGCAACCCUGACCGAGCAACGCCGCGUGAGUGAAGAAGGUUUUCGGAUCGUAAAGCUCUGUUGUAAGUCAAGAACGGGUGUGAGAGUGGAAAGUUCACACUGUGACGGUAGCUUACCAGAAAGGGACGGCUAACUACGUGCCAGCAGCCGCGGUAAUACGUAGGUCCCGAGCGUUGUCCGGAUUUAUUGGGCGUAAAGCGAGCGCAGGCGGUUUGAUAAGUCUGAAGUUAAAGGCUGUGGCUCAACCAUAGUUCGCUUUGGAAACUGUCAAACUUGAGUGCAGAAGGGGAGAGUGGAAUUCCAUGUGUAGCGGUGAAAUGCGUAGAUAUAUGGAGGAACACCGGUGGCGAAAGCGGCUCUCUGGUCUGUAACUGACGCUGAGGCUCGAAAGCGUGGGGAGCGAACAGGAUUAGAUACCCUGGUAGUCCACGCCGUAAACGAUGAGUGCUAGGUGUUGGAUCCUUUCCGGGAUUCAGUGCCGCAGCUAACGCAUUAAGCACUCCGCCUGGGGAGUACGACCGCAAGGUUGAAACUCAAAGGAAUUGACGGGGGCCCGCACAAGCGGUGGAGCAUGUGGUUUAAUUCGAAGCAACGCGAAGAACCUUACCAGGUCUUGACAUCCCGAUGCUAUUUCUAGAGAUAGAAAGUUACUUCGG